RNAcentral lists this ribosomal RNA (132 nucleotides) under Paenibacillus harenae. Its description in RNAcentral is "partial 23S ribosomal RNA". It matches the Rfam family "Bacterial large subunit ribosomal RNA", at positions 2786 to 2925 of the family's 2925-position model. Lineage: Bacteria; Bacillati; Bacillota; Bacilli; Caryophanales; Paenibacillaceae. The record is from RNAcentral.
CGUGAAGCCCCCCUCAAGAUGAGAUUUCCCAGUAUGUAAGACCCCUUGAAGACGACGAGGUUGAUAGGUUCGGGGUGGAAGCACAGCAAUGUGUGCAGCUGACGAAUACUAAUCGGUCGAGGGCUUAUCCUA